RNAcentral lists this ribosomal RNA (301 nucleotides) under uncultured bacterium. RNAcentral describes it as "partial 16S ribosomal RNA". It matches the Rfam family "Bacterial small subunit ribosomal RNA", at positions 509 to 807 of the family's 1533-position model. The record is from RNAcentral.
CAGCAGCCGCGGUAAUACGAAGGGUGCAAGCGUUACUCGGAAUUACUGGGCGUAAAGCGUGCGUAGGUGGUGGUUUAAGUCCGUUGUGAAAGCCCUGGGCUCAACCUGGGGAUUGCAGUGGAUACUGGGUCACUAGAGUGUGGUAGAGGAUAGUGGAAUUUCCGGUGUAGCAGUGAAAUGCGUAGAGAUCGGAAGGAACAUCUGUGGCGAAGGCGACUAUCUGGGCCAACACUGACACUGAGGCACGAAAGCGUGGGGAGCAAACAGGAUUAGAUACCCGUGUAGUCCCUGUCUCUUAUAC